AACGAACGCUGGCGGCAGGCCUAACACAUGCAAGUCGAGCGGACCCUUCGGGGUUAGCGGCGGACGGGUGAGUAACGCGUGGGAAUAUGCCCUUCUCUACGGAAUAGUCCUGGGAAACUGGGGGUAAUACCGUAUACGCCCUCUGGGGGAAAGAUUUAUCGGGGAAGGAUUAGCCCGCGUUGGAUUAGGUAGUUGGUGGGGUAAUGGCCUACCAAGCCGACGAUCCAUAGCUGGUUUGAGAGGAUGAUCAGCCACACUGGGACUGAGACACGGCCCAGACUCCUACGGGAGGAAGCAGUGGGGAAUCUUAGACAAUGGGGGCAACCCUGAUCUAGCCAUGCCGCGUGAGUGAUGAAGGCCUUAGGGUUGUAAAGCUCUUUAAGCUGGGAAGAUAAUGACGGUACCAGCAGAAGAAGCCCCGGCUAACUCCGUG
RNAcentral lists this ribosomal RNA (433 nucleotides) under uncultured bacterium. RNAcentral's name for it is "partial 16S ribosomal RNA". It matches the Rfam family "Bacterial small subunit ribosomal RNA", at positions 29 to 507 of the family's 1533-position model. The record is from RNAcentral.